Molecule: ribosomal RNA, 253 nt
Filed under: uncultured bacterium
Lineage: Bacteria
Also listed under: 2 other names
Description: partial 16S ribosomal RNA
Rfam family: Bacterial small subunit ribosomal RNA
Source: RNAcentral
UACGUAGGUGGCGAGCGUUAUCCGGAUUUACUGGGUGUAAAGGGCGUGUAGGCGGGUUUGCAAGUCGGGUGUGAAAGAUUCGGGCUUAACCCGGAGAGGUCAUCCGAAACUGCAGAUCUUGAGUGCUGGAGAGGAUAGUGGAAUUCCUGGUGUAGCGGUAAAAUGCGUAGAGAUCAGGAGGAACACCAGUGGCGAAGGCGGCUAUCUGGACAGUAACUGACGCUGAGGCGCGAAAGCGUGGGGAGCAAACAGG